This is a long non-coding RNA of Sapajus apella (tufted capuchin), 1744 nucleotides long. RefSeq lists it as uncharacterized. The transcript has 2 exons. Lineage: Eukaryota; Metazoa; Chordata; Mammalia; Primates; Cebidae. The record is from RefSeq and is a predicted model, not a curated record.
UGCUGGGCAGCGGGUCAGGUCACCAGCCAGUGUUUCUGGAGUGCCUGCGGCGUGCCAGGCUCCCUUAGGUGCUAGGGAUAUGAAUAAGAAGGAACUUAAGACAGGGCUCCCACAGGCCCAGGGUUGGGGGCUCUUAAACCAGUGGAGAUGGUUAAUUGCAAGAAAGUGUACUUAGCAGCCCCUGUGCAUUCCUCCCGGGUUCUGUGCGGGCAUGUGGGAGAAAUGUUGAGGCUGGGAGAUGGGAGGGGUGUGUCAGGGCAGCUGUUUUGACAAGUGGCCUUCUGGUGAGUCACCCGGAGUGCACUGGGAGUGAGGGACGUGUAGGGUUGGCGGAGGAGCCUGUGCAUGUUCUGUGGGGAGGGCUCAUGCUGGGGGAGAUGCUGCUGGAUGAGGCCGCACGAGGAAAGGGCUGCGCCUUGGCAAGGGUGCUUGGCUUUUGUCCUGAAACUAGUGAGUGAUCACUGGAGGAUUUUUAGCAUGGCAGGGACAGGGUUAGAUGAGUUUAAAAUGGUUUCAGGCCUCCAUCUGAAGGAUGCAUCUGGUGAGGAGAGACGGAAAGGGAAGGAGGCUGUCUGGUAGGAAGUUGGGGUGGAACAGGUGCGUCCAGCAGGGAGGCUGCACAGUGGGAGUUGCUGCUCAGGAGGGGCACUGGGCAGGCCCGGGUGGGUGGGUGGCUUCCUGUGUGCACAGUGGGGAGUCGCAUGGACCUGCCCUGGCUGGUGGGCUGGUAAGGGAGAAUGACGCACAGGGCAGUGGACUGAGGCAGCUUCAUCUGUGGGUGUUGGAUUCCUGAGUGUGACGUUCCCAUGACAUGGAGCAGGAGACACCUGUUGGCAUCUGUUGGAUGUCUGCUGAAGUCUGAGGACUGGCCUGGGUUGCAGGUGGUUUGCAGGCGUGGGGGUGUCCAGCCCUGACCAUGGGCAUUCUUGUCUUCAGGCGUUGGGAGGUCCAGCCCUGACCGUGGGUAUUCUUGUCUUCAGGCGUGGGGGGGUCCAGCCCUGACCGUGGGUAUUGUCUUCAGGCGUGGGGGGGUCCAGCCCUGACCGUGGGUAUUCUUGUCUUCAGGCGUGGAGGGGUCCAGCCCUGACCGUGGGUAUUGUCUUCAGGCGUGGGGGGGUCCAGCCCUGACCGUGGGUAUUCUUGUCUUCAGGCUUGGGGGGGUCCAGCCCUGACCGUGGGCAUUCUUGUCCUCAGGCGUUGGGGGUCCAGCCGUGACCGUGGGCAUUCUUGUCUUCAGGCGUGGGAGGUCCAGAAGUGGAACCCCCAGGGAGAAGUGACUGCCACAUUUCUCCUUUCAGGGGCUGAUGACGUUAGCCAGAGUCGUUUCAGUGCUGGGCUGGGGGACGCAGAUCAUGUUGGCUAAAGGACAGGUGGCACAGAGCAUGGCGGGAACCAUCUGAGAAGUGGUGUGCCAACGGGAGUAAGGGUGAGGGCAGGGAUGAGGGUGAGACUUGGUCUCAGUCUGGGGAGAGACCGGCGUACUAGCAGCCCAGCUGUCAGGAAGCAGACCCGAGGCCCGGUGUGCUCUGCCUGGACGUGGGCUUGUGUUUGUAGGCCCAGGUGGACGGCACCCACUGGCAGCCCAGGCCCUUCCCUUUGUCACACCUCCUCCUGGCGGUCUUGUUCUUCUAGUCAUGCCGUCCCUGACCCUGAGCAGGCCCAUCUCACCAUUGCCUCUAGAGUGAGGUUACUAGGAAUACUCACUGAACCUUUUUUAAAAUUUAAUUUUAAUUUUUAAAAUUUU